RNAcentral lists this ribosomal RNA (497 nucleotides) under uncultured bacterium. RNAcentral describes it as "partial 16S ribosomal RNA". It matches the Rfam family "Bacterial small subunit ribosomal RNA", at positions 28 to 507 of the family's 1533-position model. The record is from RNAcentral.
GAUGAUCGCUGGCGGCGUGCCUAAUACAUGCAAGUCGAGCGAACAGACGAGGAGCUUGCUCCUCUGACGUUAGCGGCGGACGGGUGAGUAACACGUGGAUAACCUACCUAUAAGACUGGGAUAACUUCGGGAAACCGGAGCUAAUACCGGAUAAUAUAUUGAACCGCAUGGUUCAAUAGUGAAAGACGGUUUUGCUGUCACUUAUAGAUGGAUCCGCGCCGCAUUAGCUAGUUGGUAAGGUAACGGCUUACCAAGGCAACGAUGCGUAGCCGAUCUGAGAGGGUGAUCAGCCACACUGGAACUGAGACACGGUCCAGACUCCUACGGGAGGCAGCAGUAGGGAAUAUUGCGCAAAGGGCGGAAGCCUGACGGAGCAACGCCGCGUGAGUGAAGAAGGCCUUCGGAUCGUAAAACUCUGUUAUUAGGGAAGAAAAACUGUGUAAGUAAAUCUGCACGUCUUGACGGUACCUAAUCAGAAAGCCCCGGCUAACUACGUG